RNAcentral lists this long non-coding RNA (755 nucleotides) under Gossypium barbadense (sea-island cotton). RNAcentral's name for it is "long non-coding RNA (GBAR_LNC004602)". The record is from RNAcentral. Lineage: Eukaryota; Viridiplantae; Streptophyta; Magnoliopsida; Malvales; Malvaceae.
GGCCAUGCAUGAUUAAAUUAAAUAAUAAAAUAUAAAAUUAUAUUUAAUAAUUCAUUUUAAAAUAUUUCAUUAAUAAUUUGGGUUUUAAAUUAAUUAAUUAAAUUGGAUAAAUUUUAUUAUUUGGUCCUCUAAAUUGUUGAUUUAUUCUGGACAGGUCUGAUAGCUUUGUUGGAUUACAAAACCAUCCAAAUUGGGGACCAAGUCAACCCAAAAUUCGGCUGAACAUGGCUAUCCAUAAACCACUUUUUCGUUUAAUUGCUCAAGGUCCUUGAAGAGUUGAAAAGAUUAGAGAUUUACCUGAAGAUUUGCACUUGACCGAGUUUCAGUCCUGAGUUGUUGUGGCAAUCAAAUUGACCAAAAAUCAAGCAAAAAUUAGAUCAACUUCCUCCAUUUAUGGCCGGCCACCCGUGGAAGAUGCUUCAAAAGAUGAAAAUUCCUAUUUUUAGUAAACUAUCCCCCUCUCCUCACCUAUAAAUAAUCCCUCAUCCCUCAUCCCUCAUCAUUCAUCAUUCUCUCCUCUCUAAAUUCUCUUAGCAUUCUUCUUUUCUCUCCACACCUAUCAUCAUCAUUUCACAAAGAUUUUAGCAUUUGAGCCUCUUAAAGAACCCUUGGAGAGCCAUCAGCAAAGGAGCAAAGGACCAAAAGAGCCUCGUCAGUCAGAGUCUUGGGUGACAACCACUUUGAAUUGGGUUUAAUCUUUCUUUUCUUUAAUUGAAUUUAAAGAUGUUUGCUAUGUGUUCUUUGUUCUUGUUUAC